Molecule: ribosomal RNA, 368 nt
Filed under: Rhipicephalus turanicus
Lineage: Eukaryota; Metazoa; Arthropoda; Arachnida; Ixodida; Ixodidae
Description: partial large subunit ribosomal RNA
Rfam family: Archaeal large subunit ribosomal RNA (bases 237-368)
Source: RNAcentral
GCUAAGAGAAUGGACUCUCAGAGAAAAACUUUUUUUAAAUUAAAAAUUGAAAUUUUUUUAAUUUGUGCAGAAACAAUUAUUAAUAUUAAGGACAAGAAGACCCUAUGAAUUUAUUAAAUUUCAUUCAAUAUGUAAUUACUAUUGAAGAAAUUUUGGCUGGGGCGGCUAAAAAAUAUUUUAAACUUUUUAAAAAUAAAAUGAUCCAUUAUUAAUGAUUAUAUGUUAAAUACUCUAGGGAUAACAGCGUUAUAUUUUUUGAUAGACCAUAUUGACAAAAAAGUUUGCGACCUCGAUGUUGGAUUAGGAUACUUUUUUAAUGCAGAUAUUAAAAAAAGAAGUUUGUUCAACUUUCAAUUUCCUACAUGAUC